AUGCUCUUUGCGGAUGAUGUGGUGCUAGUUGACGAUAGUCGGGCAGGGGUAAAUAGGAAGUUAGAGUUAUGGAGACAAACCUUGGAAUCGAAAGGGUUUAGGCUUAGUAGGACUAAAACCGAGUACAUGAUGCGCGGUUUCAGUACUACUAGGUGUGAGGAGGAGGAGGUUAGCCUUGAUGGUCAGGUGGUACCUCGGAAGGACACCUUUCGGUAUUUGGGGUCAAUGCUGCAGGAGGAUGGGGGUAUUGAUGAAGAUGUGAACCAUCGGAUUAAAGCCGGAUGGAUGAAGUGGCGCCAAGCUUCUGGCAUUCUCUGUGACAAGAGAGUGCCACAAAAGCUAAAAGGCAAGUUCUACAGGACGGCGGUUCGACCCGCAAUGUUGUAUGGCGCUGAGUGUUGGCCGACUAAAAGGCGACAUGUUCAACAGUUAGGUGUGGCGGAGAUGCGUAUGUUGAGAUGGAUGUGUGGCCACACGAGGAAGGAUCGAGUCCGGAAUGAUGAUAUACGAGAUAGAGUUGGGGUAGCACCAAUUGAAGAGAAGCUUGUCCAACAUCGUCUGAGAUGGUUUGGGCAUAUCCAGCGCAGGCCUCCAGAAGCUCCAGUGCAUAGCGGAUGGUUAAAGCGUGCGGAGAAUGUCAAGAGAGGGCGGGGUAGACCGAAUUUGACAUGGGAGGAGUCC
Molecule: ribosomal RNA, 681 nt
Filed under: Triticum aestivum (bread wheat)
Lineage: Eukaryota; Viridiplantae; Streptophyta; Magnoliopsida; Poales; Poaceae
Description: partial small subunit ribosomal RNA
Source: RNAcentral